GGGGAUGAAAGGAUUUCGACGGGGAGGAUGAACCUCGGUAAGCGAGCAGCGGUGCGGGACCGCUAUAAAAUCCGCAACGUUUAAAUAAUAAACGACAACAAAACAGUUUUAAAAGCUGCUUAAAUAGCAGCCGUCUUUGCCGGGAGCACUGCGGCCCGGUAUAAGGCGUCGAUUAGCAGUGAACGUGCACGGGUGAGUGUUUCGUAACCCGUCAUGAAAAACGGGACUACCAAGGCUCCGAGCCUGCCUGACGGCGCGGCGCUGAGGGAAUGUUAAAAGACAGGCUACGCUCGUAGAAAGCUGUGGGAAUUUCUUUUCGGACGCGGUUUCGAUUACCGCCAUCUCCACCA
This 350-nucleotide transfer-messenger RNA is filed under the name pig gut metagenome. It matches the Rfam family "transfer-messenger RNA". From Rfam's summary of the family: Bacterial tmRNA, also known as 10Sa RNA or SsrA, is named for its dual tRNA and mRNA-like properties. Its role is to liberate the mRNA from a stalled ribosome. To accomplish this part of the tmRNA is used as a reading frame that ends in a translation stop signal. The record is from RNAcentral.